AGACCCGCUGCCGGGCCGGGGCUGGGCCGGAGCGGCGGCGCCUGGAUGCCGGCCCGGGGCUGGGCCGGAGACUGGCGCCCGCCCCGAAGCGACUUUCGGUCCCCGACCCGCUCCGCCUGACCCCUAUGAUGAAGAGGGCGUCCACUGGAGAACAUCAUCCACUCGGGCAGUGCCCUCCUGGCCCCGGCCACCAGGGCAGCGUGGGAGCAGAUCCAGCGGAGCGAGGGUGGCACGGCACAGCUGCUCCGGCGCCUCGAGGGCUACUUCAGCAAUGUGGCACGCAACGUGCAGUGGACGUACCUGCAGCCCUUUGUCAUCGUCACCACCAACAUGAUUCUUGCUGUCGACAUCUUUGACAAGUUCAACUUCACGGGAGCCAGAGUCCCAUGGUUCGACGCCAUUCAUGAAGAAUUCCCCAGGGAGCUGGAGUCCUCCAUCUCCUUCCCAGCCAACUUCUUCAAACCACCUGAAGAAAAAGAAGGCCCCCUGGUAAGGCCAGCCAGCCGGAGGACCACCCCGCAGACCACACGCCCAGGGCCUGGCACCGAGGGGGAGGCCCCGAUCAGCAGGUGAAAGCGACACCCUGAUGACACUGGCUAGUUCACCUUCACUCUGGUCAUCGUUUACUGUACCCCGGGGCAG
RNAcentral lists this long non-coding RNA (642 nucleotides) under Homo sapiens (human). RNAcentral describes it as "non-protein coding lnc-DGCR6-6:4". The record is from RNAcentral. Lineage: Eukaryota; Metazoa; Chordata; Mammalia; Primates; Hominidae.